Molecule: long non-coding RNA, 1509 nt
Organism: Oryzias melastigma (Indian medaka)
Lineage: Eukaryota; Metazoa; Chordata; Actinopteri; Beloniformes; Adrianichthyidae
Exons: 3
Source: RefSeq, a predicted model, not a curated record
UUUUGAGUUUUGAAACCUAUUAUUUUCGGCCAAACAUUGAUAUUUUUUCAAAAUAUUUUAUUUUGGUUUCAAAUAAUAUUGGCCCCAAUUUAGCUCCAUACAGCUGACUGCAUGCCUGUGUUAUUUCGGUCCUUCUGUCAUCAUAAAAUGCACUUUUUAAAAAAUUGACCUGAUUUCUUUAUCUCUUGCUAUCUUUCUGAUUACAUUGGUUCCAGUUUGGGACUCAUGUAGUCUUUUUAUCCGCUAAAAAUGGCUUCAAAAACACGCUAGGUGCGGCAGACAGUCCGCCUGCCUCACCACAAUAUACAUGCCACCAUUAGAGGGCGCCGGUGAGCCCAGAGCGUGUAUGUGACACCGCGGCUAAAAAAUAGUAGAUUUAGCGGUAGUAAAACAAGUGCAGCCGUCCAGUUACUCUUUAAUGUUGUUUAGCAUCAAUUUCUAAAUGGAGGAUUUGGUUUUUAAACCUCUAAACUCAAGAAUUAGUUCAGACACGUCAUUGGUAGUGAUCUCUACUGAGACAGAGAGACUUUUAACUCUGAAGAAAGAAAAGAAAUACUUCUACAAACAGAACAUUCAUCUGUUUCUUCAGGAGCAGCGCAGACUUCAUUCAUAAGUCAAAGAGAACUUUUCCUUCAGCAGAAGCCACACAUCACUUCCACAUCCAGCAUCUGAACCGGAGGAAGCUUGGAAUUCUCCGGUCCGUUCGGUGCAUCGGCUAACGGUAGUCAGCCCGGCGUGCCGGCCGCGCCACAGCUGAUGCGUGGAGAUGAUUCCUGGCGGGUCGCGCCGAGCGGCCUGGAUUUGUUUAACCCGGCAGCUCAACCUUCAGACAGAAACAUGUGCGCAGAACCGCCUCCUUGUCUGUGUCGUCUGCUGGGUCAGAACAGCCCGCUCCUCAUUGAAAGGACUCUCUGUGAGGUUUCCGCGGCAGAAGGACAUCUAUUAGGAGGUUAGCAAAACACUAUCAGGUAAUACGACCUGUAAUUACAGCAGCGGUGAGGAAACGCAGCGCCGGAGCCAGUAUGGAAACAAUCUGACAAUGCAAACACGGAGCCUCUGCACAUACAUGUGCGUGCACGUGCGUCCUCGUCCAGAUUGUGGCUGUGCGAACUGUCAAAUUGGAGUGGAUGGGUGGGUGUGGAGGGAGCACAUCUGGAGGGAAUUUAUUGUAUAAUUCAGUCUAUUAUUGCUGCGGUCGGUGCUUAAGGAGCACGCACACAAUUACUGUCCACUCUGCAAGGCUACAAGUGGCCUCUGGCCUAAACUAAUAAACUGUGGACGAGGGUGGAGAGAGCAGAAUUCAGUUGAGGUUAUCAUCAGCACGCCGCUCGCUGCUACCUCUCACACUGACACGCCGUUUAUUAACAAGGAGGAACACCUACUGUUAGGGACUGCGGUCUAAUUAAGAGUCAAUUGGCUUUAAUUAAAACGAAAAAAUGCAAGCAGGCGUCAAUUGUGAAGGUUUGAGUAAAGGUCACGUUUUAUUAAAGUUUGUGUGAAGAAACAGAA